RNAcentral lists this ribosomal RNA (731 nucleotides) under uncultured bacterium. RNAcentral describes it as "bacterial SSU rRNA". It matches the Rfam family "Bacterial small subunit ribosomal RNA", at positions 772 to 1500 of the family's 1533-position model. The record is from RNAcentral.
ACCGGAUUAGAUACCCUGGUAGUCCACGCCGUAAACGUUGGGCGCUAGGUGUGGGGGCCAUUCCACGGUCUCUGUGCCGCAGCUAACGCAUUAAGCGCCCCGCCUGGGGAGUACGGCCGCAAGGCUAAAACUCAAAGGAAUUGACGGGGGCCCGCACAAGCGGCGGAGCAUGUGGAUUAAUUCGAUGCAACGCGAAGAACCUUACCUGGGUUUGACAUGCACCAGACAUCCCUAGAGAUAGGGCUUCCCUUGUGGUUGGUGUGCAGGUGGUGCAUGGUUGUCGUCAGCUCGUGUCGUGAGAUGUUGGGUUAAGUCCCGCAACGAGCGCAACCCUUGUUCCAUGUUGCCAGCGCGUAAUGGCGGGGACUCAUGGGAGACUGCCGGGGUCAACUCGGAGGAAGGUGGGGAUGACGUCAAAUCAUCAUGCCCCUUAUGUCCAGGGCUUCACACAUGCUACAAUGGCCAGUACAGAGGGCUGCGAGACCGUGAGGUGGAGCGAAUCUCUUAAAGCUGGUCUCAGUUCGGAUUGGGGUCUGCAACUCGACCCCAUGAAGUUGGAGUCGCUAGUAAUCGCAGAUCAGCAACGCUGCGGUGAAUACGUUCCCGGGCCUUGUACACACCGCCCGUCACGUCACGAAAGUUGGUAACACCCGAAGCCGGCGGCCCAACCCUUGUGGAGGGAGUCGUCGAAGGUGGGACUGGCGAUUGGGACGAAGUCGUAACAAGGUACC